AUUGUGCUUAUUCCUUAAUUCAAAUGCACUUUAUAUCUGUUUCUAUGGUGAUAAUAAUAUAAUGCACAGGGAAUGUUAACAGUCUCAAACAGACUGGAUCCUGAGAUGAUCUGAGCAACUCCUGGAAGGGCUGAGGAUCCUUAGCUCCUGGAAGCAAUAGAAGUGGAACAUAUCAAAGGAAAACUGUUACAUUUUACAAGACCACUUGCUGAUGUUCAUCUGCAUUGCAUCACUCUGAAACCAAGAGCAGCUGCACUGCUUACUGUAAGCACAUCUGGAAACAGGAGCUGUGUGUUUUGCCCAGACAAUCGUGAAAAUAAAACUCAGAGUUUGAAGGUUUAUGUUUAUUUUCAUUUUGUCUUACUUUGCUGCUGAUUUAAGUCAAAUGACUUUA
RNAcentral lists this long non-coding RNA (394 nucleotides) under Parus major (Great Tit). RNAcentral's name for it is "lncRNA (ENSPMJG00000013818.1)". The record is from RNAcentral. Lineage: Eukaryota; Metazoa; Chordata; Aves; Passeriformes; Paridae.